This 248-nucleotide ribosomal RNA is filed under the name uncultured bacterium. RNAcentral's name for it is "partial 16S ribosomal RNA". It matches the Rfam family "Bacterial small subunit ribosomal RNA", at positions 118 to 348 of the family's 1533-position model. The record is from RNAcentral.
UGGGUAACCUGCCUCAAAGAGGGGAAUAGCCUCCCGAAAGGGAGAUUAAUACCGCAUAAUAUGUUUUAAUCGCAUGAUUUUAACAUCAAAGGAUUUUCUUAAGGAAAAUUCCACUUUGAGAUGGACCCGCGGCGCAUUAGCUAGUUGGUGAGGUAACGGCUCACCAAGGCAACGAUGCGUAGCCGACCUGAGAGGGUGAUCGGCCACAUUGGAACUGAGACCACGGUCCAGACCUCCCGUAGGGACGG